Molecule: unclassified non-coding RNA, 389 nt
Filed under: soil metagenome
Description: partial contains 5.8S ribosomal RNA, internal transcribed spacer 2, and large subunit ribosomal RNA
Rfam family: 5.8S ribosomal RNA (bases 1-122)
Source: RNAcentral
GAUGAAGAACGCAGCGAAAUGCGAUACUUGGUGUGAAUUGCAGAAUCCCGCGAAUCAUCGAGUUUUUGAACGCAAGUUGCGCCCGAAGCCAUUCGGCCGAGGGCACGUCUGCCUGGGUGUCACGCAUCGUUGCCCCCCCAAACUCCGGUUCGGGCAGGGCGGAAGUUGGCCUCCCGUGCGUGCCUGCGCGCGCGGUUAGCCCAAAAGCGAGUCCUCGGCGACGAGCGCCACGACAAUCGGUGGUUUUUUUACCCUCGUUCCUCGUCGUGCGUGCCCCGUCGCCCGAACGCGCUCUUGCGACCCUUACGCGUCGCCUCGGCGGCGCUCCCAACGCGACCCCAGGUCAGGCGGGACUACCCGCUGAGUUUAAGCAUAUCAUAAGCGGAGGA